CCUACGGGUGGCAGCAGUAGGGAAUCUUUGGCAAUGGACGGAAGUCUGACCGAGCAACGCCGCGUGAGUGAAGAAGGUUUUCGGAUCGUAAAGCUCUGUUGUAAGAGAAGAACGAGUGUGAGAGUGGAAAGUUCACACUGUGACGGUAUCUUACCAGAAAGGGACGGCUAACUACGUGCCAGCAGCCGCGGUAAUACGUAGGUCCCAAGCGUUGUCCGGAUUUAUUGGGCGUAAAGCGAGCGCAGGCGGUUAGAUAAGUCUGAAGUUAAAGGCUGUGGCUUAACCAUAGUACGCUUUGGAAACUGUUUAACUUGAGUGCAAGAGGGUAGAGUGGAAGUCCAUGUGUAGCGGUGAAAUGCGUAGAUAAAUGGAGGAACACCGGUGGUGAAAGCGGCUCUCUGGCUUGUAACUGACGCUGUGGCUCGAAAGCGUGGGGAGCAAACAUGAUUAGAUACCCCUGUAGUC
RNAcentral lists this ribosomal RNA (465 nucleotides) under uncultured Streptococcus sp. RNAcentral's name for it is "bacterial SSU rRNA". It matches the Rfam family "Bacterial small subunit ribosomal RNA", at positions 338 to 795 of the family's 1533-position model. The record is from RNAcentral. Lineage: Bacteria; Bacillati; Bacillota; Bacilli; Lactobacillales; Streptococcaceae.